CUCCCCUCCUCCCACUUAAUUCCUUGCCCGUUUCACUCCGGAGUAAACACGAAAAUUAUGGAGAGCGUUAUAAAUAACCCAUUCAGGGAAUUAGAACCCAACAUUAUUGCUUUAAAAUCGCCGAAUUGAUCCAUGAAACGUACACACACAAACAGCCAUAAUGGCCAUGUUGAGCUCCCUUGAUCUCCCCGGACCGGCUCCCACUGCCACUAUAAAUAGACCGCGAGGAGAGCCCUCAGCCCUAACACCUUCCAGACCCAAAAGCCCUCUUCAUCUCGCCUCAAAACCGGAGAAUUUGUCGCCGGACCCGAGCUUCGUUGUCGCCGUCCGUUGACGUUCCCGUCGGCUCCGCCAGGGCGCACGAACGACGGCACCCGACCUCCACCAUCGUUCUGCCUGCAGCCGCUGCCCACGCCCUCCGGUGGACGAGAUCGACAGGGCCAAUAGCCUAUCGUCUUCCUCUCAUCUUCAGGAAUGGCGACGUGAACCCCCUCGUGCACGAUCGAGCCACGCGCCGCCGCCCCGACCAACUCCGGCGACCGGACCACCUCUCCCCGAUAUAUCAUAAGGUGAAGGAGA
Long non-coding RNA from Triticum dicoccoides, 579 nucleotides. RefSeq lists it as uncharacterized. The record is from RefSeq and is a predicted model, not a curated record. NCBI's taxonomy places the organism in Eukaryota, Viridiplantae, Streptophyta, Magnoliopsida, Poales, Poaceae. The transcript is spliced from 3 exons.